CUGGGCCUGAUAGACAUCAUCUUCCAGUACAUUCACUGUGAUGAGAUCUAUGAGGCAAUAAACAUCCUGAGCAGCAUGAACUGGGACACUCUGGGCCACCAGUGCUUUAUCAGCAUGAGCGCCAUUGUAAACCAUCUUCUUAGACAGAAGCUCACUCCAGAGAGAGAAGCACAGCUUGAGACAAGCCUUGGAACCUUCUAUGCUCCAACAAGACCACUUCUGGAUUCCACUAUAUUGGAAUAUAGAGAUCAAAUCAGCAAAUAUGCAAGGAGAUUCUUCCAUCACUUGCUCAGGUGAAUGAUAUGUUUGGAUUGAUUAGCGUCAGACUAAUUACUUAUUUCAGGAGACAUCCUCUUUAAUUAAAAUAUUCCAUAGUAAGGCUAUGUGUUUCCUAACAGUCCAUCUCCUCAAAGAAAUAUACAUCUUCUUUUGGUCUUAUUUAAUUUGUUAUUGUUUUCAUUUUAAGGAAAUAUUUGAAUAUUAUUUGGGGGUUUUAUAUAACCAAUACUUUUUAAUAUACCUUCCUCUUUAAUAUGAAAGCUAUGUAAAGUCAAUGUAGAAAUAUUAACUGAAUUGUGCUACUCGCACUAAGUAAAUAUUUUCUUUUUAAUUGAAGCUAAUGAUGUGAAUGUUCUGUAAAGCUCUGAGACAGUCAUUAGUUUGUUUUUCUUUAAGAAUUACUGUAGAAAAACUUGUCCAUUGUCUGCUUAUAUAAUGUGGCAAGUUUCUAGCUUCACCAUACCCCAUUUUCUCUGCUUUAAAUGGGUAUAAUAAAUUUUGUUAACCUAGAAAAUAUGUGAAAAAUAAUGUCAAGAGAUUUCUCUAAGAAA
This 830-nucleotide long non-coding RNA is filed under the name Homo sapiens (human). RNAcentral describes it as "non-protein coding lnc-VPS54-10:1". The record is from RNAcentral. Lineage: Eukaryota; Metazoa; Chordata; Mammalia; Primates; Hominidae.